This 433-nucleotide ribosomal RNA is filed under the name uncultured bacterium. RNAcentral's name for it is "partial 16S ribosomal RNA". It matches the Rfam family "Bacterial small subunit ribosomal RNA", at positions 29 to 507 of the family's 1533-position model. The record is from RNAcentral.
AAUGAACGCUGGCGGCAGGCCUAACACAUGCAAGUCGAACGACAUCUUCGGAAUAACUGGCGCAUGGGUGAGUAACGCGUGGGAACGUGGCGUUAGGUACGGAAUUACUCAUGGACAGGGGUGCUAAUAUCGGAUAACGUCUUCGGAGAAAAGAUUUAUCGUCUUUGGAUAGGCCGGCGUUCGUUUAGCUAGUUGGUAUGGUAAAAGCCGACCAAGGCUAAGAUCAUUAGCUGGUCUGAGAGGAUGGUCAGCCACACUGGGACUGAGAUACGGCCCAGACUCCUACGGGAGGCAGCAGUGGGGAAUCUUGCACAAUGGGCGAAAGCCUGACGCAGCUAUGCCGCGUGAGUGAUGAAGUUCGUAGAGUAGUAAAGCUCUUUAACCCGGGACGAUAAUGACGGUACCCGAAGAAUAAGCACCGGCUAACUCCGUG